UGAGGAAUAUUGGGUCAAUGGACGCAAGUCUGAACCAGCCAAGUAGCGUGCAGGAUGACGGCCCUAUGGGUUGUAAACUGCUUUUAUAGGGGGAUAAAGUGUGCCACGUGUGGCAUAUUGCAGGUACCCUAUGAAUAAGGACCGGCUAAUUCCGUGCCAGCAGCCGCGGUAAUACGGAAGGUCCGGGCGUUAUCCGGAUUUAUUGGGUUUAAAGGGAGCGUAGGCCGUCUUAUAAGCGUGUUGUGAAAUGUCGUGGCUCAACCUGGGCAUUGCAGCGCGAACUGUGAGACUUGAGUGCGCAGGAAGUAGGCGGAAUUCGUCGUGUAGCGGUGAAAUGCUUAGAUAUGACGAAGAACUCCGAUUGCG
This 366-nucleotide ribosomal RNA is filed under the name uncultured Prevotella sp. Its description in RNAcentral is "bacterial SSU rRNA". It matches the Rfam family "Bacterial small subunit ribosomal RNA", at positions 355 to 717 of the family's 1533-position model. The record is from RNAcentral. Lineage: Bacteria; Pseudomonadati; Bacteroidota; Bacteroidia; Bacteroidales; Prevotellaceae.